GAGCAGGCUGGGGGCUGAUCUUCUGCCUUGUCCCCACCUCAGCCUCCCUGUCCCAAUGCAUGCCCAAGCUGGUUCCUCAGUAUCCAUUUGGGCAAACACGUGGCUCAGAUGUGGGCACCUUGGGAGAGAUGUGGAGUCAGCGUCAGGGAAGAAGCCCUUGUGAUUAUAUAACAGUUCUCAAGAGGAAGCUGCUAACAAGCCCAUCUGAUAUUUUGUGCCAGCUGUUUCAGUGGAGGCGUGUUGGACUAGACUGAACUCCGCUUUCUUUGACAAGCAAAACAUCUGAAAAGUGACAGAACCUGAAGAAAAAGGGAAUUCAAAAUCUGGCUCUGAAUUUUCUCCUGGACCAGUCUGUUCUUCCGUAUCCACAGACAAGUAGGUUUCUGCAGGAGUAGUUUAGAAGCCCCACCAUUAACCUGUCUUUCUGCAUGGUGCAGCAACUCCUGCUAAGAUCCUGUGAGUAUUUUGUAUGCUGUUCUUCUCCCUGCAAAGUAAAAGCUGAGACAUAAAACUAGAAGAUCCUCUCUAUUGUGAACACAGCACAGGAAGGCAGUUGUGAUGGAUAGGAGCUGAGCUGUGAUCAUGCUGCGGGUAGCUCCUGCUCUGUUUUGGAGACAGUAUGUGUAUGAUUAAAGUUACAUACAGAAGAAUAUGCC
Molecule: long non-coding RNA, 656 nt
Filed under: Chrysolophus pictus (golden pheasant)
Lineage: Eukaryota; Metazoa; Chordata; Aves; Galliformes; Phasianidae
Description: lncRNA (ENSCPIG00010007606.1)
Source: RNAcentral